GUUUCUGUAGUGUAGUGGUCAUCACGUUCGCCUAACACGCGAAAGGUCCUCGGUUCGCGACCGAGUGGAAACG
Danio rerio (zebrafish) is the source of this 73-nucleotide non-coding RNA. NCBI's taxonomy places the organism in Eukaryota, Metazoa, Chordata, Actinopteri, Cypriniformes, Danionidae. The record is from Rfam.